AAAAUUUAAAUUUAUAAUACUAAAAUAGUAAAUAAAUAUUUAUUGAAACUUAAAUAAUUUGGCGGUAUUUUAGUUCAUUUAGAGGAAUCUGUUUAAUAAUUGAUAUUCCACGAAUAAAUUUACUUAAUUUAUAAUUUUGUAUAUCGUUGUUAUAAAAAUAUUUUUUAAUAAAUUUAAUAUUUAAAAAUUUUUAUUUAAAUUUAAAUCAGAUCAAGAUGCAGAUUAUAAUUAAGAAUAUGAUGGAUUACAAUAAAUUUAUUUAAAUGAAUUUUAAUUUGUAAGAAUUAAUUGAAAGUGGAUUUAAAUGUAAUUUUAUUUAGUUUAAUAAAAUGAUUAAAAAUUAAAAUAUGU
This 351-nucleotide ribosomal RNA is filed under the name Acrapex curvata. RNAcentral describes it as "mitochondrial SSU rRNA". The record is from RNAcentral. Lineage: Eukaryota; Metazoa; Arthropoda; Insecta; Lepidoptera; Noctuidae.